RNAcentral lists this ribosomal RNA (497 nucleotides) under uncultured bacterium. Its description in RNAcentral is "partial 16S ribosomal RNA". It matches the Rfam family "Bacterial small subunit ribosomal RNA", at positions 28 to 507 of the family's 1533-position model. The record is from RNAcentral.
GAUGAACGCUGGCGGCGUGCCUAAUACAUGCAAGUCGAGCGAACGGACGAGAAGCUUGCUUCUCUGAUGUUAGCGGCGGACGGGUGAGUAACACGUGGAUAACCUACCUAUAAGACUGGGAUAACUUCGGGAAACCGUAGCUAAUACCGGAUAAUAUUUUGAACCGCAUGGUUCAAAAGUGAAAGACGGUCUUGCUGUCACUUAUAGAUGGAUCCGCGCUGCAUUAGCUAGUUGGUAAGGUAACGGCUUACCAAGGCAACGAUGCAUAGCCGACCUGAGAGGGUGAUCGGCCACACUGGAACUGAGACACGGUCCAGACUCCUACGGGAGGCAGCAGUAGGGAAUCUUCCGCAAUGGGCGAAAGCCUGACGGAGCAACGCCGCGUGAGUGAUGAAGGUCUUAGGAUCGUAAAACUCUGUUAUUAGGGAAGAACAUAUGUGUAAGUAACUGUGCACAUCUUGACGGUACCUAAUCAGAAAGCCACGGCUAACUACGUG